AGAGAGAGCUUGCUUUCUCGAGCGAGUGGCGAACGGGUGAGUAACGCGUGAGGAACCUGCCUCAAAGAGGGGGACAACAGUUGGAAACGACUGCUAAUACCGCAUAAGCCCACGGGUCGGCAUCGACCAGAGGGAAAAGGAGCAAUCCGCUUUGAGAUGGCCUCGCGUCCGAUUAGCUAGUUGGUGAGGUAACGGCCCACCAAGGCGACGAUCGGUAGCCGGACUGAGAGGUUGAACGGCCACAUUGGGACUGAGACACGGCCCAGACUCCUACGGGAGGCAGCAGUGGGGAAUAUUGCACAAUGGGGGAAACCCUGAUGCAGCGACGCCGCGUGGAGGAAGAAGGUCUUCGGAUUGUAAACUCCUGUUGUUGGGGAAGAUAAUGACGGUACCCAACAAGGAAGUGACGGCUAACUACGUGCCAGCAGCCGCGGUAAAAACGUAGGUCACAAGCGUUGUCCGGAAUUACUGGGUGUCAAGGGAGCGCAUGCGGGAAGACAAGUUGGAAGUGAAAUCUAUGGGCUC
RNAcentral lists this ribosomal RNA (525 nucleotides) under uncultured Lachnospiraceae bacterium. RNAcentral describes it as "bacterial SSU rRNA". It matches the Rfam family "Bacterial small subunit ribosomal RNA", at positions 71 to 610 of the family's 1533-position model. The record is from RNAcentral. Lineage: Bacteria; Bacillati; Bacillota; Clostridia; Lachnospirales; Lachnospiraceae.